GCUUCCCUGGUGGCGCAGUGGUUGCGCGUCCGCCUGCCGAUGCGGGGGAACCGGGUUCGCGCCCUGGUCUGGGAGGAUCCCACAUGCCGCGGAGCGGCUGGGCCCGUGAGCCAUGGCCGCUGAGCCUGGGUGUCCGGAGCCUGUGCUCCGCAACGGGAGAGGCCACAACAGAGGGAGGCCCGCAUACCACAAAAAAAAAAAAAAAACAGCUCAGCCUAAAUAAAUAAAUAAAUAUUUUUUUAAAAAAUCCAAGGUUAUGUAGAUUUGCCCCUGUGUUUUCUCCUAAGAGUUUUAUGGUUUUAACUCUUGUAUUUAGGUUUGGUUUUGUUUUUUUUUUUUGGUUGCGUCGGGUCUUCGUUUCUGCGCGCAGGCUUUCUCUAGUUGCAGCAAGUGGGAGCUACUCUUGGUUGUGAUGCGUGGGCUUCUCAUUGCGGUGGCUUCUCUUGUUGCGGAGCACAGGCUCUAGGUGUGCAGACUUCAGUAGUUGUGGCUCGCGGGCUCUAGAGUUGCGGUGCACAGGCUCUAGAGCACAGGCUCAGUAGUUGUGUCACAAGGGCUUAGUUACUCCACGGCAUGUGGGAUCUUCCCGGACCAGGGCUCGAACCCGUGUCCCCUGAGUUGGCAGGUGGAUUCUUAACCACUGCGCCACCAGGGAAGUCCCUGUAUUUAGGUUUCUAAUCCAUUUUCAGUUAAUUUUUAUAUGUGGCAUAAGGUAAGGGUCCAACUUCAUUCUUUUGCAUGUGCCAUUUGUUGAAGAGACUGUCUUUGCCCCACUGAGUAGUCUUGGCACUCUUAUUGAAAAUCAGUUCGCUAUAUAUACGGGUUUAUUUCUGGGUUCUCUAUUCUGUUGGUCUGUAUGUCUGUCCUUAUGCCACGCCACACUGUUGCAAUCACUUUCACUUUAUAGGACAUGACCUGGCCUUUUACAUACAUCCCUUCAUCUCCUCCUCACCAAACACUCUGAAGUAGGCAUUAUAUAAUCAUUCUUACUGGGUAAAGUCAGGCCUAAAAGGUUAAGGUGACGUACCCUCCGUCACAAAAUUGGUGGAUGUAUUUACCCUUUGCAAGGCGACAUUGCAAGUGCUCCCAGGCUGACAGACAUACAAAAACCGUGAAUUCUUGUAUCUUGACCUUAAAAACAAUCUCCAUAGUCAGGUGACGUCUAGCCAGGCCUUCAGCAACUAGGAUUCCAAAGCCAGGAUAUUCCAAGAGGAAGAAAGCGAUCCUGAGCAUCUCUGAUCAAGUUAGUGGUUGAAGUCCAAGAGCAUGAUCUCAGAAGCAAUCAGCUGAAGGAGAGGGAAAACCUGGAGAAUGGGGUCGGCCAGGAAUCAGAUGUUUUCAAAAGAGUUUUAAACGCAAAGUAUAUCAGAGUGAUCUUUCCUGCACAGUCAUAAGCUAUCAUGCUACGAUUGAAAAUGGAACAGAUGGGGCUUCCCUGGUGGCGCAGUGGCUGAGAGGCUGCCUGCCAAUGCAGGGGACACGGGUUCGAGCCUUGGUCCAGGAAGAUCCCACAUGCCACGGAGCAACUAAGCCCGUACGCCACAACUACUGAGCCCGCGAGCUACAACCACUGAAGCCCGCGCGCCUAGAACCCGUGCUCCACAAGAGAAGCCACCGCAAUGAGAAGCCUGCACACCGCAACGAAGAGUAGCCUCCACUCGCCGCAACUAGAGAAAGCCCGCGCGACAAAGACCUAACGCAGCCAAAAAUAAAUAAAUAAAAUAAAUUUAUUUUAAAAAAAGAAGGAAAGAAAAUGGAACAGAAAAUGUAUGGUAAUAUGAACCAUUUUUCAGUAAGAAAAAAACGGACCGGGAGGAGGGGAGGAUGGAGAGGGGGAAUGGGGAGUUGGUGUUUCAUGGAGACAGAGUUUCAGUUUAGGAAGGUAGAAAAUUCAGGAGAUGGAUGAUGGUGAGAGUUGCACAACAAUGUGAAUGUAUUUAUGCCACUGAACUGUACAGUUAAAUAUGGUUAAAACGGUAUGUUUUAUAUUACGUGACUUUUACCACAAUUUAAAAAAAAAAAAGAAAGAAAGAAAUGAAAAAACUGACCACCCUUCUGAUUCCAGCCGCUUAGGGGUCUUUGCUCUGCUGAGCUCUGUGUCUGCCCCUGGAAUACGGCUCCCAGAGGACUCAGCCCUCUGUCCCUCUGACUGUUGGUCUUGGGACGGGCUUCACGGCUUUCCAUCGGUUACCUGCCGCUAACCCUUUGCCACCUGAGUCAUCAGCCUGCAGUUGGGCGUGGGAAUGCAAGGCCUUGGCACCACGCCUGAAACAACACAGUGUGAAAAUCAGAGCUGGGAUCUUGAUGUUCUGGGCCCAGUAUAGCAGCAAGCAUGACUUAGAUUUGUUCAGAUCCUUGCAGGGCACAAAGCCCAUUCACGACAUGACCUGUUCUCCUUCUCCCACCAGUAACACCUACCAUUCCUACCCUUUUUGCUUCUUUAUCAUGGAGGAUUGGCCAAAGGAGUUAAGUUAGUUACAAGGGGUUAAGGCUUGUGCUCCCUCGAGCACUGCCCUCGGGUGAACUCCACGUGUCCACUAGUUAAGGGAGCAAGACAGGAUCUUGAAAAUCUUGAACUACUAUUAAUAUGUGUGCUUUUCUCUUUCCAGCUUCCUUGGCGCCUCCUCCCUUAAGAGAAGGCGUCCGCAUUGCUUCAACAGUAUGAGGCGCGGUAAGAAUGUAAAGGUGCAGAAACAAUCGAUAGCCCCUUGGUGGGGGGACUCAGCAGGGAAAAGCUAGGGAAGCAGCAGAGUUUAUGUCACGCGGAGAGAAUCAGAAAGAGGAUCACCCUUGCCUCUGCCCAGACCAUGGGAGAGUCCCCUGGGCAGGGGCAGGGAGGAAGAAUGGGGCUGGGGGUGACCUGAAAAGAGGUGGUGCAGCAGAGGUGCAGAGGGGGUUAGCCCCGGGAGCCCUUCCUGCAAGCAGUGCCCCUCCCCCACCCCACCCCAAGUGACAGUGUGAAGCGCCUGCUCUUCGGGGGAGGGGUAUAGUACUUUCCCGGGGCCGCCAUAACAAAUGACCACUAACUGGGUAUCUUCAAGCAACAGAGAUGUAUUCUCUCACAGUUCUAGAGGCCAGAAGUCUGAGAUCAAGGUGUCGGCAGGGCCAUGGUCUCUCGAGGCUCUAGGGGAGGAUCCUUCCUGGCCUCUUGCAGUUUCUGAUGGUUGCUGGCAUUCCUUGUCGAUCCUCGGCUUGUGCCGAGUAGCUGCAUCACCCCAGCCUCUGCCUGCAUCAUCACACGGCCUCUCUGGGAGUUUCUGAAUUUCUCUCUUCUUGCAGGAAUACCAGUCAUUGGAUUUAAGGCCCACUCUAUUCUAGUAUGACCUCAUUAAAAAAAAAAUUUUUUUUUAAGGAUUGGGGUGCAGGUGGGCGAAGCAACUAAUAAAAAAAGGGAAAAAAAAUUUAAGAUUUUUUUUUUUUAAAGAUUUUUUUGAUGUGGACCAUUUUUCAAGACUUUAUUGAAUUUGUUACAACAUUGCUCCUGUUCUAUGUUUUGUUUUUUUGGCCACGAGACACGUGGGAUCUAAAAUCCCUGACCAGGGGUCCAACCCACGCCCGCUGCAUUGGAAGGCAAAGUCUUAACCAUUGGACCACCAGCGAAGUCCCUAAAGAUUUUUUUUAAUUGAAAUAUUGUUUUUUUGUUCUUUGUUUUCUUUCUUUCUUUCCUUCCUUCCUUCCUUCCUUCGUUCUUUCCUUCCUUCCUUCCUUCCUUCUUUCUUCCUUUUUUCCUUCCUUCCUUCCUUUCUUCCUUUCUGGCUGUGUUGGGUCUUCAUUGCCGCGGCACAGGCUUUCUCUAGUUGCGGCGAGCAGGGGCUACUCUUCGUUGUGGUGGGCGGGCUUCUCAUUGCAGUGGCUUCUCUUGUUGCGGAGCAUGGGCUCGAGGCACGAGGGCUGCAGUAGCUGUGGCUCGCGGGCUCUAGAGCGCAGGCUCAGUAGUUGUGGUGCACGGGCUUAGUUGCUCCGUGGCAUGUGGGAUCUUCCCGGCCCAGGGCUCAAACCCGUGUCCCCUGAAUUGGCAGGCAGAUUCUUAACCACUGCACCACCAGGGAAGCCCUAUUGAAGUAUUGUUGAUAUACAAUAUUGUAUAAGUUACAGGUGCACUUGUAUAAGUUACAGUUAUAGUGGUUUGUAAUUUUUAAAGGUUAUACUCCAUUUAUAGUUAUAUUAUAAAAUAUGGGCUGUAUUCCCUGUGUUGUACAAUAGAUCCUUGAACCUUAUUUUAUAAAUAACUGUUUGUACCUCUUAACCCCCUACCCCUAUAUGGCCCCUCCCACCUUCCCUCUCUGCACUGGUAACCGCUAGUUUGUUCUCUAUGUCUCCGAGUCUGCUUCUUCUUUGUUAUAUUCAUUAAUUUGUUGCUUUUUUUUUCUUUUUUUCUUUUUUUUCUUUUUGUGGUAUGCGGGCCUCCCUCUGUUGUGGCCUCUCCCGUUGCGGAGCACAGGCUCCGGACGCGCAGGCUCAGCGGCCAUGGCUCACGGGCCCAGCCGCUCCG
This is a long non-coding RNA of Physeter macrocephalus (sperm whale), 4492 nucleotides long. RefSeq lists it as uncharacterized. The transcript has 3 exons. NCBI's taxonomy places the organism in Eukaryota, Metazoa, Chordata, Mammalia, Artiodactyla, Physeteridae. The record is from RefSeq and is a predicted model, not a curated record.